GGGGGGGGGGGGGGGGGGGGGGGGGGGGGGGGGGGCGGGCGGGGGGGCGGGGGGCUUGCUUCUGUGAUGUUAGCGGCGGACGGGUGAGUACCACGUGGAGAACCUACCUAUGAGACUGGGGUAGCUUCGGGAAACCGGGGCUAAUACCGGAUAAUAUGUUGAACCGGCUGGUUCCACCGUGGAAGACGGUCUUGCUUCCACUCUAGAAGGACUCGCGCUGCAUUAGCUAGUUGGGAAGGUAACGGCUUACCAAGGCAACGAUGCAUAGCCGACCUGAGAGGGUGAUCGGCCACACUGGAACUGAGACACGGUCCAGACUCCUACGGGAGGCAGCAGUAGGGAAUCUUCCGCAAUGGGCGAAAGCCUGACGGAGCAACGCCGCGUGAGUGAUGAAGGUCUUCGGAUCGUAAAACUCUGUUAUUAGGGAAGAACAUAUGUGUAAGUAACUGUGCACAUCUUGACGGUACCUAAUCAGAAAGCCACGGCUAACUACGUG
RNAcentral lists this ribosomal RNA (496 nucleotides) under uncultured bacterium. Its description in RNAcentral is "partial 16S ribosomal RNA". It matches the Rfam family "Bacterial small subunit ribosomal RNA", at positions 35 to 507 of the family's 1533-position model. The record is from RNAcentral.